CUCCCCGAGGCCAUGCCCAGCACCACUAUAACCCCCUCCCGCAGCCCCUCAGUCACAGAGCUGAGAAAGAAUGGUUACCAUGCUAACUCGAACCUCACUUGUGCCCCCUUCUUCACGCCACACAGACCAGAGGCAAAUACAAUGAGUAUUUAGAGAAUCUGCUACGCUGAUCGCUCCCCUCUCCUCGCAGGAGGAUGGAUUUUUAAAUCUGGGAAGUCUUGUGCUACAGGCAAAAACCAAGUGAAGAGAUGUGUGAGAUUUUUUUCGAGCUGGCAAAAAGGAGACCCUAUCCAGGAGAUUAGGCUUUAAGCAUGGAGUGCAGUGGAAUGAUCUUGGCUCAUUGCAACCUC
Gorilla gorilla gorilla (western lowland gorilla) is the source of this 350-nucleotide long non-coding RNA. RefSeq lists it as uncharacterized. The record is from RefSeq and is a predicted model, not a curated record. NCBI's taxonomy places the organism in Eukaryota, Metazoa, Chordata, Mammalia, Primates, Hominidae. The transcript has 3 exons.